GGCCGUGCGAUCUGUCGAGUAAUCAUGAAUCAUCGCAGCAACGGGCAGAGCCCGCGUCGACCUUUUAUCUAAUAAAUGCAUUCCUUCCAGAAGUCGGGGUUUGUCGCACGUAUUAGCUCUAGAAUUACUACUGUUAUCCGAGUAGUAGAUACCAUCAAACAAACUAUAACUGAUUUAAUGAGCCAUUCGCAGUUUCACAGUCUGAAUUUGUUCAUACUUACACAUUACUGUUAUCCGAGUAGUAGAUACCAUCAAACAAACUAUAACUGAUUUAAUGAGCCAUUCGCAGUUUCACAGUCUGAAUUUCUUCAUACUUACACAUGCAUGGCUUAAUCUUUGGGACAAGCAUAUGACUAUUGGCAGGAUCAACCAAGUA
RNAcentral lists this long non-coding RNA (376 nucleotides) under Nicotiana benthamiana. Its description in RNAcentral is "long non-coding RNA (NBEN_LNC021373)". The record is from RNAcentral. Lineage: Eukaryota; Viridiplantae; Streptophyta; Magnoliopsida; Solanales; Solanaceae.